Orbicella faveolata is the source of this 311-nucleotide long non-coding RNA. The record is from RefSeq and is a predicted model, not a curated record. Lineage: Eukaryota; Metazoa; Cnidaria; Anthozoa; Scleractinia; Merulinidae.
UGUAUGGCUUGAGUUUUCUUCCCUCUGUUUACUCAUUGCUGGCUGUCACUCCUGGAUUCAUCAUUCCACCACAUUUUAGAGUAUGGACUUUAAUUACAGGAGGAUUUAUAGAAUAUAGAAUAUGGAAUAUGUUAAUAGACAUUGGAGUUCUUGUCUUGUGUGGUCAGUUGUUAGAGCCUCUCUGGGGAGCACUUGAAUUUUUGAAAUUUGUAUUAAUCUUAGAUGUAGGAACAUCACUGAUAACAUCAGCUAUUUGUGUAAUAGCUUAUGUUGCAACAUUUGACACACACAUGUGGUAAGUUGACAACUAC